CUUCUCUUAGUGCCACUUCACUCAUUGCUUCAAUUGCUACAAUUUUCCAAGAACAGCUGUGGUGAAUUCACAUGUGGCGGUUGAGAUCUCACCUUGGUGGAAGACAUUCAGUCAAGUGUAGGCUGUUUGCUGAGAAGCUGACUGAUGGAUGAGGAAUCCUGACCUAAGACUUUCUUCCCCAUGGUACACUACUAGAUGCUGUGGUGUCCUCCACAUCUGCAUGGUCCAUCUUCCUCCUACUUCGAAUAUCCAGAGAGAUCUGAGGAGCCCUGGGCUUCCCCUUCAAGGCUCCAACUCUAUGGUGAGUUUUAGUGUGAAUUUUAUGAUCAAGAAAUUCAAUUUAUAUACAUUUAACCUGGAAAUUCCACUUCUAUGGCCUCAUUAUAAAAAUGAGAUUGAGAGAUACCCAUGAUCUCUUCUUAUUCAGUUAGGAGUGUGGAUAGUUAGAAACCAUGAAUGUACCACAGCAGAGCUUCUCAG
This is a long non-coding RNA of Cavia porcellus (domestic guinea pig), 480 nucleotides long. RefSeq lists it as uncharacterized. NCBI's taxonomy places the organism in Eukaryota, Metazoa, Chordata, Mammalia, Rodentia, Caviidae. The record is from RefSeq and is a predicted model, not a curated record. The transcript has 3 exons.